CCUACGGGGGACAGCAGUGAGGAAUAUUGGUCAAUGGGCGCUAGCCUGAACCAGCCAAGUAGCGUGAAGGAUGACUGCCCUAUGGGUUGUAAACUUCUUUUAUAUGGGAAUAAAGUGCAGUAUGUAUACUUCUUUGCAUGUACCUUAUGAAUAAGGAUCGGCUAACUCCGUGCCAGCAGCCGCGGUAAUACGGAGGAUCCGAGCGUUAUCCGGAUUUAUUGGGUUUAAAGGGAACGUAGGCGGGUUGUUAAGUCAGUUGUGAAAGUUUGCGGCUCAACCGUAAGAUUGCAGUUGAUACUGGAAGCCUUGAGUACAGUAGAGGUAGGAAGAAUUCGUGGUGUAGCGGUGAAAUGCUUAGAUAUGACGAAGAACUCCGAUGGCGAAGGCAGCCUGCUGGACUGUAACUGACGCUGAUGCGCGAAAGUGUGGGUAUCAAACAGGAUUAGAUACCCUAGUAGUC
This 460-nucleotide ribosomal RNA is filed under the name uncultured bacterium. RNAcentral's name for it is "partial 16S ribosomal RNA". It matches the Rfam family "Bacterial small subunit ribosomal RNA", at positions 338 to 795 of the family's 1533-position model. The record is from RNAcentral.